AGAGUUUGAUCCUGGCUCAGGAUAAACGCUGGCGGCGUGCCUAACACAUGCAAGUCGAACGCGCUUCGCAAGAAGCGAGUGGCGGACGGGUGAGUAUCACGUGGGUGACCUACCUUGAGGUGAGGAAUACCACCGAGAAAUCGGUGACAAUACCGCAUAUGCUUGGGUAACCAAGCAAAGUCUCGCAAGAGACGCCACAAGAUGGGCCUGCGCCUGAUUAGCUAGUUGGUGAGGUAAUGGCUCACCAAGGCCACGAUCAGUAGCUGGUCUGAGAGGAUGAUCAGCCACACUGGGAUUGAGAACGGCCCAGACUCCUACGGGGGGCAGCAGUGAGGAAUUUUCGUCAAUGGGGGCAACCCUGAACGAGCAACGCCGCGUGCAGGAUGACACUUUUCGGAGCGUAAACUGCUUUUCUGGAGGAAGAGAACGGACGGUACUCCAGGAAGAAGCCCCGGCUAACUACGUGCCAGCAGCCGCGGUAAUACGUAGGGGGCAAGCGUUGUCCGGAGUUACUGGGCGUAAAGCGCCCGCAGGCGGUCAGGCAAGUUCAGACUGACAAUCCCCAGCUUAACUGGGGAGGGUGUAUGAAAACUGCAUGACUUGAGGCAUAGAGAGGGACAUGGAAUUCCGGGUGGAGUGGUGAAAUGCGUAGAUAUCCGGAGGAACACCAAAGGCGAAGGCAAUGUCCUGGCUAUGUCCUGACGCUGAGGGGCGAAAGCUAGGGGAGCGAACGGGAUUAGAUACCCCGGUAGUCCUAGCCGUAAACGAUGACCACUAGACGUUCGGGGUAUCGACCCCCUGAGUGUCGUAGCUAACGCGAUAAGUGGUCCGCCUGGGGAGUACGGUCGCAAGAUUAAAACUCAAAGGAAUUGACGGGGACCCGCACAAGCAGCGGAGCGUGUGGUUUAAUUCGAUGCAACGCGAAGAACCUUACCAGGAUUUGACAUGGCAGUGACUAGGCUAGAGAUAGCCCUUCCUUCGGGACACUGUCACAGGUGCUGCAUGGCUGUCGUCAGCUCGUGCCGUGAGGUGUUGGGUUAAGUCCCGCAACGAGCGCAACCCUCGUCGGUAGUUGUAUGUAUCUACCGAGACUGCCGCGAUCAACGUGGAGGAAGGUGGGGAUGACGUCAAGUCAGCACGGCCCUUACAUCCUGGGCGACACACACGCUACAAUGGCAAGGACAACGAGUCGCCAACCCGCGAGGGGGAGCCAAUCUCAACAAACCUUGUCUCAGUUCGGAUCGGAGGCUGCAACUCGCCUCCGUGAAGUUGGAGUUGCUAGUAACCGUGAGUCAGCACAUCACGGUGAAUACGUUCCCGGGUCUUGUACACACCGCCCGUCACACCACGAAAGUCGGCAACACCUGAAGCCGCUGGGCUAACCCGCGAGGGGGGCAAGCGUCGAGGGUGGGGUCGGUGAUUGGGGUGAAGUCGUAACAAGGUAACCGUA
Molecule: ribosomal RNA, 1450 nt
Rfam family: Bacterial small subunit ribosomal RNA